This 591-nucleotide ribosomal RNA is filed under the name uncultured crenarchaeote. Its description in RNAcentral is "bacterial SSU rRNA". It matches the Rfam family "Archaeal small subunit ribosomal RNA", at positions 851 to 1441 of the family's 1478-position model. The record is from RNAcentral. Lineage: Archaea; Thermoproteati; Thermoproteota.
GAAACCUAAAGGAAUUGGCGGGGGAGCACCACAAGGGGUGAAGCCUGCGGUUCAAUUGGACUCAACGCCGGGCAACUUACCAGGGGAGACAGCAGAAUGAGGGUCAGGUUGACGACCUUACCUGACAAGCUGAGAGGAGGUGCAUGGCCGUCGCCAGUUCGUGCUGUGAGGUAUCCUGUUAAGUCAGGCAACGAACGAGACCCGCACCUUUAUUUGCCAUCAAGAAGUCACGACUUCGUUGGGAACGAUAAAGGGACCGCCGUCGAUAAGACGGGGGAGGGAGCGGGCAAAGGCAGGUCAGUAUGCCCCGAAACCCCUGGGCCACACGCGGGCUGCAAUGGUGCGCACAGUGGGCUGUGACUCCGAAAGGAGAAACCAAUCCCGAAAUCGCAUCUCAGUGGGGAUUGUCGACUGUAACUCGUUGACAUGAACGUGGAAUCCCUAGUAAUCGCGUGUCACCAUCGCGCGGUGAAUACGUCUCUGCUCCUUGCACACACCGCCCGUCGCUCCACCCGAGUGUGUUGGAAAUGAGGCCCGGUCAAUCUGGUCGCGUCGAGUUUCUAGCAUGCGAGGAGGGUUAAGUCGUAACAA